Non-coding RNA from Salvia hispanica, 254 nucleotides. NCBI's taxonomy places the organism in Eukaryota, Viridiplantae, Streptophyta, Magnoliopsida, Lamiales, Lamiaceae. The record is from RefSeq and is a predicted model, not a curated record.
CACUACAAAAGAAUAUCUCUGCAGACAGUGAAAAAGGGAUAGGAAAUGCAAAGGAUUUAACGAAUUAUGAAAAAGCGAGUUUGGAGGGGAAUACGAAAGGGAUAGAUCCGGCAGCAAGUGCAAACAAUGCGGAGAAAGAUGCAAUCAUUGGGGAAGUAGAAACCUCUGCCAUUGGGAAGGAAGGGGCUGGAAACUUAAAACAUGCUGCAAAAGGAUUUGUGUCAUUCACCUACGGUCGUGUCCCAGAGACAUUG